GGCCGCAGGGGGUCGAGGGGGUGGGGCUUGCGGGCGGCUGGGACCCGGCCCCGGCCUGGAUCUGGAGCCGGGAGGGCAGAGGCUCCCAGCCGGGACCGAUGGGCGGGGCCCAGGUUCACACAGAAAUCAGCCGCCUGGGCCGUGUUGGUGUUAAAGCCUGUUUCUUCUCCUGAUCCCCAGCAGAACACAAGUGGACCAACACAAGUGAUUUUCUCUUGCCUCAGCAAGGGCUGGCACAACCCCUGGAAUCUGUCAACCACUAGCCUCUGAGCUUUAAAAGCCAGCUGGAUGAAGGGAUGUAACACGCACCUGGGAGGGACGCUGAAGUCAGCCGUGGGGGGGGAGGGGCCCGGACACACCCCUUCCCCCCCAGACUCCUCCCCAUCACGGUCCACGCGGCCAUGGACCUUGGACUUGGAUAAGUGGAGAGAAGCUGUACUUUGGUGGAUCUGAUUCUCAGUUUUGGAAAUGAAGUAUUAGGUCGGGGGAUGGGAGGGGGGGGGUUGCGCGUUGAUCUCCAGGGAAGCAACAGAGAGAAGAAAAGAAAGUUAAUGCUACAAAUGGUCCUUCAUGCUAUCUCUCAUCACACUGUGCACACGGACCAAGCCCCAGAGCAGGCGUAGAGGACACAGAGCCGCUUUUCUUAAAGAGUGAGGUAAGAGCUAAGGAAGCAUGGUCUCGGAUAUGUUGCAAUAUAGAGAGUGCAGUGAAGAGUAC
Molecule: long non-coding RNA, 717 nt
Organism: Rattus rattus (black rat)
Lineage: Eukaryota; Metazoa; Chordata; Mammalia; Rodentia; Muridae
Exons: 3
Source: RefSeq, a predicted model, not a curated record